RNAcentral lists this transfer RNA (64 nucleotides) under Cricetulus griseus (Chinese hamster). The record is from Rfam by way of RNAcentral. Lineage: Eukaryota; Metazoa; Chordata; Mammalia; Rodentia; Cricetidae.
GAUGGCUCAGUGGUUAAGAGCCCUGAUUACUUUCCAGAGGAUCUGGGUUCAAUUCCCAGCAUCA